AGAACGAACGCUGGCGGCGUGGAUAAGACAUGCAAGUCGAACGGGACAACAUCUGUAGCAAUACAGGUGUUGUUUAGUGGCGAACGGGUGCGUAACACGUGGGCAAUCUGCCGAGAAGUGGGGGAUAGCUCGCCGAAAGGCGAAUUAAUACCGCAUAUGAUCAGGGACGACAUCUUCCCAACAUCAAAGCCGGGGUAACCUGGCGCUUCUUGAUGAGCCCGCGGCCUAUCAGCUAGUUGGUGAGGUAACGGCUCACCAAGGCUAUGACGGGUAGCUGGUCUGAGAGGACGACCAGUCACACUGGAACUGAGACACGGUCCAGACACCUACGGUGGCAGCAGUCGAGAAUUUUCACAAUGGGGGCAACCCUGAUGGAGCGACGCCGCGUGGAGGAUGAAGGCUUUCGGUUGUAAACUCCUGUCAUUUGAGAACAAGUGUAAGCUAAAGGUAACUACUGGACUACUUGAAUAGUAUCGUAAGAAGAGGAAGAAG
This 492-nucleotide ribosomal RNA is filed under the name uncultured soil bacterium. RNAcentral describes it as "bacterial SSU rRNA". It matches the Rfam family "Bacterial small subunit ribosomal RNA", at positions 26 to 496 of the family's 1533-position model. The record is from RNAcentral.